Molecule: ribosomal RNA, 547 nt
Filed under: uncultured bacterium
Lineage: Bacteria
Description: bacterial SSU rRNA
Rfam family: Bacterial small subunit ribosomal RNA
Source: RNAcentral
GGAAUAUUGGGCAAUGGAGGGAACUCUGACCCAGCGACGCCGCGUGCGGGAUGAAGGCCUUCGGGUUGUAAACCGCUUUCAGCAAGGAAGAAGCGAAAGUGACGGUACUUGCAGAAGAAGCACCGGCUAACUAUGUGCCAGCAGCCGCGGUAAUACAUAGGGUGCAAGCGUUGUCCGGAAUUAUUGGGCGUAAAGAGCUCGUAGGUGGUUCGUCACGUCGGACGUGAAAAUCUGGGGCUUAACCCCAGACCUGCAUUCGAUACGGGCGAGCUAGAGUGUGGUAGGGGAGACUGGAAUUCCUGGUGUAGCGGUGGAAUGCGCAGAUAUCAGGAGGAACACCAAUGGCGAAGGCAGGUCUCUGGGCCAUUACUGACACUGAGGAGCGAAAGCGUGGGGAGCGAACAGGAUUAGAUACCCUGGUAGUCCACGCCGUAAACGGUGGGCACUAGUUGUGGGAACCUUCCACGGUUUCUGCGACGCAGCUAACGCAUUAAGUGCCCCGCCUGGGGAGUACGAUCGCAAGAUUAAAACUCAAAUGAAUUGACGG